RNAcentral lists this ribosomal RNA (253 nucleotides) under uncultured bacterium. RNAcentral describes it as "partial 16S ribosomal RNA". It matches the Rfam family "Bacterial small subunit ribosomal RNA", at positions 524 to 776 of the family's 1533-position model. The record is from RNAcentral.
UACGAAGGGGGCUAGCGUUGCUCGGAAUUACUGGGCGUAAAGGGCGCGUAGGCGGGUAUUUAAGUCAGAGGUCAAAUCCCAGGGCUCAACCCUGGAACUGCCUUUGAUACUGGAUACCUUGAGUGCGGGAGAGGUGUGUGGAACUCCGAGUGUAGAGGUGAAAUUCGUAGAUAUUCGGAAGAACACCAGUGGCGAAGGCGACACACUGGCCCGUUACUGACGCUGAGGCGCGAAAGCGUGGGGAGCAAACAGG